Bombus terrestris (buff-tailed bumblebee) is the source of this 424-nucleotide long non-coding RNA. RefSeq lists it as uncharacterized. The record is from RefSeq and is a predicted model, not a curated record. NCBI's taxonomy places the organism in Eukaryota, Metazoa, Arthropoda, Insecta, Hymenoptera, Apidae. The transcript is spliced from 2 exons.
CGCACAUUUCUCCCGUCAAAAACAUUGUAGGAAGAACUGUGCAUAUAGUUCGAUCGUUUGAUCACUAGAGGACUGCUUCUCCAAAGCGAGUAUGUUCAUUUGCCGUAAAUAUAUCUCACUCUCGCUCCCAAUGCAAACUGAGCUGAACGUGCUGAAAAAAGCAAUUCCUGGGAUACACCUUUCUAGAUAAUAUUCGCCACGCGAACCCAACCAACGAACAUUAAGCGGGUAGUAGUGUAUAUGAACAUUUAUAUGUAUAUUACUUUAUGACAUUAAUUUUAUAAAAAAAUCUCACGCGUUUCGUUCACCUGUAAUCAAAAUAAACACUCAAACUUUGGUAUUCUGCUUUUCUUAAGGUUAAAAAAAUGCAUAAACAUGUUUACUCUAUUCAAGUCUAUGAUCCAAAUAAAAUUAAAUAUAUAUA